UCGAUGCUGCAGUUGUGUGUCUAGUUCUUUGACCUGAGAUGCAUCGACAGUUCACCUUGAGUGUGUUAUAGUUUGACUACACCAUAACUCGAUCUCCUAGCCAUUCGAAACUCUGAGGUGUAUGUUGGCAGUAGCAUAUUCAUUGUAGGAACUAGGUCGCACCAAGAUGGGAUCUAUCAACCUCGGUAGAUGAGAGGAGUAGUCCUAUGAUGAUCGAAAGAUCGAGUCCUUAAGCCUAUGGCCAUGGCAGAGUGAAAUAAUAGAAAAGAGUUUUCCAUUGGAGUUUCACAUCGGACUC
This 298-nucleotide long non-coding RNA is filed under the name Elaeis guineensis (African oil palm). Its description in RNAcentral is "long non-coding RNA (EGUI_LNC068155)". Lineage: Eukaryota; Viridiplantae; Streptophyta; Magnoliopsida; Arecales; Arecaceae. The record is from RNAcentral.